RNAcentral lists this ribosomal RNA (253 nucleotides) under uncultured bacterium. RNAcentral's name for it is "partial 16S ribosomal RNA". It matches the Rfam family "Bacterial small subunit ribosomal RNA", at positions 524 to 776 of the family's 1533-position model. The record is from RNAcentral.
UACGUAGGGACCAAGCGUUGUUCGGAUUUACUGGGCGUAAAGGGCGCGUAGGCGGCUUGACAAGUCACUUGUGAAAUCUCCGGGCUUAACUCGGAACGGCCAAGUGAAACUGUCAUGCUAGAGUGCAGAAGGGGCAAUCGGAAUUCCAGGUGUAGCGGUGAAAUGCGUAGAUAUCAGGAGGAACACCAGUGGCGAAAGCGGCCACCUGGACUGCACCUGACGCUGACACGCGAAAGCUAGGGGAGCGAACGGG